AAGUCGUAACAAGGUUUCCGUAUGGUUGAACCUGCGGAAGGAUCAUUACUAAAUAAAGCUUGGUAGGAAGUGGGGUCUUGAUCUGUAAGUGGUAGAGCGAACAGGUCCGGCUGCCUCCCGAAAUUGUCUUACAGGUACCCCCACAGCCUGAAGGCCGAAUUACAACCCUUGAUUAUCUACACUUGUUGCAUUUGGGGUGCUCAAGUGCCCCAGAGGCAGCCCAACUCUCUUGCAUUUAUGUAGACGUCUGAGUACUAUAUAAUAUUUAAAA
This 271-nucleotide unclassified non-coding RNA is filed under the name plant metagenome. RNAcentral's name for it is "partial contains small subunit ribosomal RNA and internal transcribed spacer 1". The record is from RNAcentral.